AUUGAACGCUGGCGGCAGGCCUAACACAUGCAAGUCGAGCGGAUGAAGGGAGCUUGCUCCUGGAUUCAGCGGCGGACGGGUGAGUAACGCCUAGGAAUCUGCCUGGUAGUGGGGGAUAACGUCCGGAAACGGGCGCUAAUACCGCAUACGUCCUGAGGGAGAAAGUGGGGGAUCUUCGGACCUCACGCUAUCAGAUGAGCCUAGGUCGGAUUAGCUAGUUGGUGGGGUAAAGGCCUACCAAGGCGACGAUCCGUAACUGGUCUGAGAGGAUGAUCAGUCACACUGGAACUGAGACACGGUCCAGACUCCUACGGGAGGCAGCAGUGGGGAAUAUUGGACAAUGGGCGAAAGCCUGAUCCAGCCAUGCCGCGUGUGUGAAGAAGGUCUUCGGAUUGUAAAGCGCUUUAAGUUGGGAGGAAGGGCAGUAAGUUAAUACCUUGCUGUUUUGACGUUACCAACAGAAUAAGCACCGGCUAACUUCGUG
RNAcentral lists this ribosomal RNA (484 nucleotides) under uncultured bacterium. Its description in RNAcentral is "partial 16S ribosomal RNA". It matches the Rfam family "Bacterial small subunit ribosomal RNA", at positions 30 to 507 of the family's 1533-position model. The record is from RNAcentral.